Molecule: long non-coding RNA, 843 nt
Organism: Carassius auratus (goldfish)
Lineage: Eukaryota; Metazoa; Chordata; Actinopteri; Cypriniformes; Cyprinidae
Source: Ensembl
UAUUUGGGGGGGGGGGGACUUAUUUUAUUUAUUUGUAUAUAUAAAUUAUACGGUUUUAUAUAUAGCCUAUGCACGUUAUAUAUUUAUAUUACGGCUGCUUGUGGUUGGCGAACAGUAGCUAGCUACUACGCCACAGUAGUAUAAAUAAACAAGCUAUCCAAACAAAAUGAAAAAUUUCCAUUCAAGAGUAUUUCUCAAUGAAAUGGACUUUGACCGUGGCGGUGGGAGCUCGAGCAUCUCGGCUUCUUCGGCUGCUGCGGAUCUCUGUCACGGUGCGAACAUGUCGGGACAUGCCUGCGUGACGUGCGUGUCCCCGCGAGUAAAUACACUCGACUGGCCAAGUGUGCCAGUCAACUUCAACCACAAGAAAAACUGAACCGAAUUUAACCAAAGCCACAGGAGACUGUUACUUUAAUAGGACAGAGAAUUAAGUGACUGCUGAGAUUGUCCCUGGCGCAAUAUAUGCGAUGGAUUGCUCGAUGGACGAGUAUUACCACACCGUUCAAUGCCACAAAUGCCCUCAAUGUCCACCUGGCCAAGAGCUCAAAGAGGACUGUGGUUAUGGUGCAGGCGUGUCAGCUGUGUGUGGCGUAUGUGACGUUCGGUGGUUUAAGGAAGACUGGAGCUCUCACCCUUGUGCACUGUGACAGAACUGCCGGAGACUCAAUAGACACCAAAUCAAGCGCUGCACACACACAGACAACACAGUGUGUGGAAACUGCCUCCCUGGGUAAGACUUUCUUACUCACUCACUCACUCACUCACUCACUCACUCACACUCACACACACACACACACACACACACACACACACACAAAACAAAACAACCUUUAUGCAACCUGA